UAUAAAAUAGUGUAUGUUGCACGGGGAUUUUUGGUGUCUCAAGGAUUGGUUUUAUUCCAAUAUUUAUAA
This 69-nucleotide transfer RNA is filed under the name Quasilineus sinicus. RNAcentral describes it as "tRNA-Gln". Lineage: Eukaryota; Metazoa; Nemertea; Pilidiophora; Heteronemertea; Lineidae. The record is from RNAcentral.